CUUCCAUUUUGUAUAGGGCUCAGCCUCUCAGGUUUUUAACUCCUUGAGCAUCGUGGGCUGCUCUUCCACUCUGGUAGGGAAGCCCUGUCCUGGAUCUGGCCCACUACUCCAGGCCCU
Unclassified non-coding RNA from Dipodomys ordii (Ord's kangaroo rat), 117 nucleotides. The record is from Ensembl. NCBI's taxonomy places the organism in Eukaryota, Metazoa, Chordata, Mammalia, Rodentia, Heteromyidae.